GUCCCUAGCAGUUGCUCCUCUGGAGCUGUCUCAUGGGCUCUGCGCUACUGCUUGAUAAGCAAAAUGGCUUUUUCAAGGUUUCCUUAGUGGCCCUGAGUGAACCCGGGGAGUUCACCACCCACGAGGGAAUCUCUCCUAACAAUAAAACAAGUUCUGUAAGGCUCCCUGCGUAUCUGGGAACUGUCUGGUCCAAGCCUUGCUCGCUUGGCUGUAGUUAACUUUGUGUUUCGACUGCCUUAUCUGUUUUCUGCAGCCCUAACUGAACACUUAACAAUUUCUAGCUGCCUCCCAGUUUCCAGGAAAGGCUCCUCUUGGGCUUUCAUGAUUUUUCACUCCCUGCUGAGACGGUGUUUGCAGCUUCCUGGGGCUGUGGCCCCUCUUCUGGUGUUGCCUGUGCUUGUGCUGGGGAUGCUCGGCAUGGGCAGGGAAGGGUCCUGUUGCAGGCGUCAGGGAAUUCACCCUGAAACCGCGGUGACCUCGGUAAGGGCUCGGUGCCCUUCCUACGACCAGGCUGUGCUGAACAUCCGCACGUGGGUGGGCGCCGAGGGGUGGGGAGGCGAUGUGGUUUAGUUCUUGGCUGGGCGGCUGGCCCUUGGAAUUGGCUAUUUCUAUAAAUAAUCCUGUGUAUUAAUUAGAGCUGGACCCUUGCACGCCUGGGGAGGGAGAGAAUGAGUUCGGGGAACAAAACGAGCAGGAAGGAAAAAGUAAUGUCUGUUAACAACACUGAAUUAGCUCCUAAUUAUAGAGAGGGGAGCGAGUGGCAAGUGUGGCUUGUGGGAUGAAUGCAGAUGGGCUGGGCACGGUCACCGCAUCCUUAACACACGCCUCGGAUCCCAGGCUGCCGUCUCAUCGACCCGGGGAGCGGUGCAGCAGCAGAACUGGGUUUUGCAGCGUCUUUCAGUCCCGGGUUGUCUUGAACGGGAGAUUUCGAGAUUGUCCCGUCAGGGGUGCAGGGAGCUGGGCCUGCUGCUCCCAAGCUGCUUUAGUCACUGUCCCCUUACAGCCCUGCCAGCAUUGUAGCCUGUUUUUAUUAAGUUCCUGGUUGGAUUUCAUGGGAUUAGGGUUUUUGCUAGAGGAUCCCUGCCUUUUGCUUGUGAUGUGCCCAUCACAUUUAAUGAGGAGCCUUGUUAGAGCACAGCUCCUCUCAGGGAACUGUGGGCAGGUUAGGCACAAACCUGGAGAAGCGGAUAAAAAUGAGAAGCUUCAGGCUGAAAAAGGAAACUGUCUUGAUAAUGAAGUGUAUUAAGCUGUGAAUUACCUUCCCAAAGAGAGUAAGGAGCUCAUCCUCUGACAUUUAAAUUUGCAAGCCGGUGUGGGGUCAGCAGGCAUGAUAUUCCUGACCCUGCGGCCUUGGAUUUUUGCUGAAGAACCAAUUUGAGAUUUUCCAGUUGUAUUUAAUGUGACUGGGCUGCCCAGAGGCAUCAGUAAUGUGGGUGCCAGAAAUGGAGCGUAAACCUGCGCCCCAUGCGUGCCCCGCGCCUCUGGCCAGCUCCGGCGCUUUGCCGGGCAGGGACAGUCUCUCGUAGGGGUCAAUUAAAAAGAAAACCGAGAAAAAGCUUUUCUGUCCCAGCUCUUCCCACAUGGCAAGCCGUCGUCAAAAGGAUAAUCUGUGGCGGACUGAAAAGUUGGGAUUAAUGUCAAACAAAAUUGGAUUUACUGUUGAAAUCUGCUACCCGAGGGAGCCGCGCUGAGUUGUAUCCAGCUCUCCUCUAUCUGACGUUCAGCAAACUGCUGCGCUUGUACCGUGUCUGAUGCUGCCAGGGACUUUUCUGCUGCCACCUCGGCAGAGUCCUGCUGGCCGCAGGGUCGUCCCUGGAGGUGAUGCUGUGUGUCGGCAGAGGUGGGCUCACCUAGCUGUGAAGUAGAGAGGUGUAUUGCCACCUGAAUCCCGCCCUGCUUUGGCCAGCUAAGGAUGUCGUGGUGGCUCCACGUCUGGUUUUGAUGACCCAACAGUAAUUAAGGUACUUCUCUGGUGUGGAAUAAAUCAGGAGCAAAUUCCACAGCUGACAGCAACUGCUGGAGUCUGGCAGCUCCUUUUUCCACCCUUCCGUCUCCACGCUUGCCAUCACCCAGCAGAAUAAAAAGCACCUGCACAACGUCCAGAGCUGUGUGCCCUUGCCCGCUGUGAUACGGAGCGAUGCUUUUUGCACUGAAGUCCCUUUAGUCCCACAGAUGCUGAAGCUGUCCUCUGCUAAUACUUUUCUGCCAGCGAAGAAAUCAGCCCUUUCCACCUCACGGCCAUUUGCGUCACCGUAAGGAAAUGCUAUGAUCGGAGAAGGCAACGGAUGAAGAGUCCGGCAGGGAAAAAUCUCUCUCAUAAGGUCAAGUUCCCCAAGUUCACGUUGCCAAAUACCUGGCCCAUGACGUGGUUAUUUUGCAGGUGGAGAGUCACGCUUGGUGCCUGUUCAGUCCUGGGCUGGUUGCUGGCAACCGUUGUGCCUAACUCCAGGCAGGAAUACGUUUCUAUAUUUUAUUAUAUUAUUAUAUAUAUUAUGAGGAAUACAUAGAUUUAACAAUGUGAGGGUUUGUGCUAGAGAGAGGACAGGGGCAUAAAAUUGUUUUUCUCAGGGAUUUAAUGAUUAAAGAUAACUGUCCAUCACCGCUCGGUGUAUUGUCUUCCACCCUGUCUUGUGUAUCCGUGUCUGUCCAGUUCACUGACAUUUCUUUUUGCUGAAAGGAAAAAAGACCCAACAGCAAGCAAGCAACAUUUUCCAAAGCCAAUUACCAGCUUUCUACAUUGUUGUAACUCACUGUUACAGGAUGCAAUCGCAAAGAAUUCCCUGUUUAUACAGCGAACAUGUUUAAUACCUUCAGCAUUGUGCUUGGACUACAACAGUGGAGAAGAAGAGCACCAUUUGAUUUUUGGCAUUCGGAGCUGCUGGUUUGGUAUUCCCCUUUGGAUGAGGGAGCGGGACAGGUUAGGAUCCUUUGCUGUUCCAAAAAUCUCGUUUCAUGUGUCAUCUUUUUUACCGAUUCCCAUGUUAUGCCUGCAAAGCCUUAUUUCAGUGUACCUAAAACCCAGGCAGUUGGCUGUUUGCAGUGCAACGCCGGGAAUGGGUAUUGAAGCUCAGUGGUUUCAAAGCACGCAGGAGAAAUUACUUUAACCUGGAUGAUUCGGGAGGGUGCGUCAGCCACCGGCAGCAGAGACAGCUCUGGUGACGAGGAGCACUCGCUGAGCUAAAAUUUGGCAUCCACAACCUGGUGUCUUUGAAUUUCUAAACCAGGGUCAUUGCAGUCAGCCACUCGCAGAAAGAAAAGGGUUUUAAACAUGUUCCCUCUGGUCUCCACACUGAGCUCCAGGGUGUAUGUCAGAUUUUUCCUCUUUCCUCUGGGGCUUUUCCUAUUGCUUUUGCAGAAAUAGCUAACAUCCUUGCCAGGCACUGGUGCUGAAGUAAAUGCAUUAACGCUGCCAGUCGCCUUGCUGGCUGGUAGCCAUGACCCUGUAUCUAACGGGAAUAAAGCCUUCCGAAACACGGCAGGAGUAAGCAGUGCCAUGGACGGCUGCUUUAAUGUCAGCACAAGGCAUAAAACCAGUUUUGCUUCUGCUCCUCUUUGUUUUCAGCCUUCUCUAUGAUGGAGGAGAAUCACCGCAGACCAUUCUUUUGCUUUUAGCUGCAUUUCUUUUUCAUGCAGAAGCAUGAGCGUCCUUGGGACGUUUCUUUCAUCACGGGCAGGAUUUUGAAAGAGCCAAAAGAAAAUGUCUCCAAUGGAUCUGUUGCAUCUAACAAGGCUGAGGUAUUUUGGUGGAGUUGGUAUUCCACAUGUACCUGCUCAGAGCUUAUCAGAGUGUCGUCUUAUUGAGGGUCUGAGCUGUACUGAAAAAGCGCCUUAUAAUCAGAGACUCCCACGUUGUUUUUGAGGACUCACACCUAUACUCUCUUGGUGGGGGCUGCUUGUGGUUUUAGAGGUGCUUACUCAGUUGCACACACUGUUUGGGAGCAGGGACUGGAGCCCAGGUCAAACUGAGCAAGGUGAUUUUCCCAAGAUUUUGGUGCCAGCUGGAGGAAACUUCACGAGGUAGGUCCUUCAAUGGGAUUUUUUGCCUUUGGGGUGCUUCUGAGCGGACCACGGAAACAGUUCUUGGAUCAAAACCUAGCCAAAACCCCAUGACCAAGGACUGAGAGGUAAAUAGAAUGAGUUUGUAAAAUCUUUUGAAAGCCUUGAACUAUAAAAAUGCAACAAGCUAUUAAAACGAAACCGUAGCUUCCCCCUUACCUGGUUCACACAGUUAAAAUGCUCAGCCCUCUGCUUAACAGGGUGUGCAUGAGCAGUGUGUGUUUUUUUAUCCUGCAGUCGCAAGAAAGUUUAUCUUGGGUUUUUUGGGCAGAGUUUAUUUGUGGAUGAAGCCAAAUCAAUACCAGCUUGCUUUCCUAAGAACUUUUUAUUAAAAGACCAAAAGAAAUAAGGGCAUGAACCUCUCAGCUGUAAUGUUAAUCAGUGAUGGAGCUCAGCGGUACAGCAAGGAGUAGUCUCCUGGGAUGGAUAGGAUGAAGGUCCCAGAUGUCCUCAAGGUAGGAUGUAUCCCACUGCAGACAUGUUUAGGUCUGGACCCCCCUCCUGUAGCUCCCAGGUAGAGGCUGAGUGGUCCUGGAUCCCUCUGCCUGGUGCAGGAGUAGGGGUCUCCAAGGGCUGCAUUGCACCCAGGGGUGCCCCAUCAGACCAGGUGAGGAUGUAGGAUGGGGCAGUGUCUGCGUUCCCUCUCCUUGCUCACAGCCUGGCUCAGUUCUUCAACAUCUUUUGCAGAUCAACCCAAGACUCUGAACUCCCUGGCAUCAAACAAGGCUUUCCCCAGUGAAUCUGGUGGGGCAGGAUUUUGGUGUGAAUCCUGUCAGUGCAUUUGGUUUGUCUGGAGCGUGUCUACCCUUUCUACUGUUUUCUUUCUGCAGGUGGAUGUAAAACUUUUAGCUUUUAAGUGCAAGGCUUAGAUGGUGUCUGCGUGCAACAGCAAGAUGAAUAUCUGGAGAAAACCACAGUGGUUUUUUAUUUGUGUGCUUCAGGCAUGACUUUGCUUUUUAAUAGAGCUGCCUCCUGUGCUCUCUGUUGGAAAAAAUGCACCCAAAAAGGCUGUUCCUGUGUCCAGGAGAAGUCUGCCCUGGAAAUGAGGAUUACAAUUUAAAAGAUGCUUCACCUAAUUGCCCAGGCAGGCAGCGAGGCAGGUAGCAUGGACCUGAGCCCGCCGCGCCAGAGCCUGCUGCUGCUGGAGCUGGGGAAGCCAGGCAAUGCUCAGAGCAGAACUGGUUUUCAUGGUCGCCCUCAGGUUUUCAAUGAGAUUUUAGGAAAGAGAUUGAAGUUUCUCUGGCCACCAGGAGUCAGCUUCCUUUUGGGGAGCCCCUGGAAAGGCUGUGUUUCCAGCUGGCAGCCCUGCUUCCUUGCCCCCUCAUUGCCAUCGAGGUUGUCUCCAGUCCCAGUUCUGUACUGGUUUGUGUUGGGAGAUGACAGGAGAAGGGCUUCAAUGAAAAGAGGUUGGCUCAAAGGGCUGCUGCUGGCUCUAGGCCACUGCAAAAGAGAGAUCAAUGCAGCUCCAUGCGAGAUGCUUGUUGCACCGACUCCUGCGUGUCCCUUGGCGAAGGGCUUUUAAUCAGCGCUGGGAAGGGACGUUGGGGAACUUGGCAUCGGGCAGGUCAGGCUUGAUGCAUCCCGGGGAUCCGGGGCUGAUCCAGCUCCU
Long non-coding RNA from Harpia harpyja (harpy eagle), 5665 nucleotides. RefSeq lists it as uncharacterized. The record is from RefSeq and is a predicted model, not a curated record. NCBI's taxonomy places the organism in Eukaryota, Metazoa, Chordata, Aves, Accipitriformes, Accipitridae. The transcript has 8 exons.